Molecule: microRNA, 22 nt
Filed under: Lottia gigantea (owl limpet)
Lineage: Eukaryota; Metazoa; Mollusca; Gastropoda; Lottiidae
Description: Lgi-Mir-92-o31_5p* (star (passenger))
Source: RNAcentral
AGGCUGUGACUUUUGCAAUAUG